GGCCUGCUGGGGUGGGGAGAGCUGCUGUCUAAAUGAGCAUUUCGGCUUUUAUCGGCAACAGUGCGCUGUUACCUUGGAGAGCAGAGAAACUCUGAUUGGGUCGUGACGGGAGAGGAGCGUCUGAGGCUGUCACCCUGCCCUUAGCUGCCCAGAGGGUGCUGUGAGGUUUGACUCAAUCCCGGGACAGAUUGGGGCUGAGGGAUCAAAGGUAAGCAGUGUGAAGUCCCCCGCCCAGGACAGCGUGUGGAGAAUGAUGGUCUGGGAGCCAGAGGAACAGGAAGCCCUGGAGGCUCAUGCUGGCGGGGAGCUGUCCCCGGGGAUGGGAGGACCGCAGAAAUGGCGCAUGGCCACUCAAGGGGACGGACGUGUGCUCUAGAUGGCCGGUGUGGAGGGAGAAGAGAGAGACUCGGGCUGGCGGCAGAGUGUAGGUGACAGGGUCACCGGGGUGGGGCUGGGAAGGGGAAGGGCCUCGUGCUUUUGUUUCCGGACUGUGGGCUGUAGCUCUGGAAGGAGGCUCCGUCUUCGUCUCUGUGUCCAGCGGGGUCAGGACUGCUUCCUGCUUCCUGGCUUGGCUUGACGGGACAGAGAGGAGGAAAGGACGUGCUCGCGGCCACGCUGGACCUCACCGAGUCGCGGUCUCUGACGCCAUCUGGGAUGUCCUGCCAUCGCGCCUGGCCUCCUCCCGGCUUAACUUUCCCUCUUACCCAUCAACGCCGGCUGAUGCAACACAUUGUGCUCGAGGUCACCGGCUGACCCUGUCGCAAGAGCGGACGAUCUCCUGUUUCAUGCUCACUCUAGCCCCAGUGCCAGGCAUGCAGCAGGUGUCCAGUGCAUCGAUGUGUUUCUUCUUCUAGUGAACCGGCGUCCCCUGUGGCUCCUCCACGCCAGGCCACAAGCUAGGACACGAGGCUAAGGAGCAUCCUGGCUUCAUUCUUCAGGAAAAUGCUGAGACACACUUGUGAGCCCAGCGGUGUGGCCUGGUGUGGAGGGCGUGCUACCAGACUGAUGGCGGUAAAGAAGGAGAAGAGAGGCAGCAGGGAGCAGAGGCUGGGAGCCAGAGGGUAAGCGUCACUUUGCAACAGGAGGGAACAGCAGGGCGGGCAUAGAGGUGCUGGAGAGCACUGCGUACUCUUGAGGGAACUUAGCACACAUCCCUUCACGCUCGCCACUUUCCGAAGCAGUUCUGUGAGUCCUCUUUCGUGAGUGUCUUUAGAUGUUUCAUCGUAGGGGGCUCGGUGUGCUGAAUGGAUUCAAAACAUUUACCUUUCCCAACUUUAGGGAAGGCCGGAAGUCACAGAGUGCCAGAUCUGGGGAAUAAGGUGGAGGAGGGUUUGUGCUGUCAUGCGUUUAUUCAACAGAAAAUUUGUAAAUGUAAACUGCUUCAGAAAGUGGCAAGGAAGUUGGGAUAAGUAUGCUUCAAAUCGGGGUGUAUUUUGAGGGAGAUUAAUGGUAAUGAGUCUCAACCUCACAGUGAUCCUCCUGCCUCAGCCUCCCGAGUGCUGGGAUUACAGGCGUGAGACACCACACCCGGCAACAUUUUUAUUCUGGAUCUUAGCCAAGACUGAGAAGCAA
Molecule: long non-coding RNA, 1572 nt
Organism: Fukomys damarensis (Damara mole-rat)
Lineage: Eukaryota; Metazoa; Chordata; Mammalia; Rodentia; Bathyergidae
Source: Ensembl